GGGUCAAUGGGCAAUUUUUUUUAAGACAUUCAAAUGAAUAAAACCAGAGAAUUCUGAAAAUCUGACAAAUAUCCCAAAGCAAGCGAACUUCCUUAAUUUCAUAUAAAAAAUAAUGUAAUUUGAAAGAUAUACAGGAGAUUGGGAGAAUGCAAGAUUUUGCUCUAUUUACCCCCUGACGUUAAGGCAGCAAGUUAUUAUGUCCGCAUGUCAAAUAGCCGCCUACUUUCAGAUUUCAGCUUACUACUUCUAAUUGUAUUGAAAGCCCUCCUUUACAAAGAAAUAUUUCCAGUAAAAUUCCUACACUGGCACAAGUUCUUUUUGAUAAGGGGAGAUAAUCACAAAUUCUGAUAACCAAGUUGACUUUAUCCCAUUUCACCGUAUAUUAAUAGGGGGCUUGUUAUUUUAUGCAUUAAAUAAAAUUUAGGGGGGUGCUUCUAAAAAAUUGUAAGUUGGUCAAUUUAGGCUGUAACACAUAUUUACAUAUAAAAGUGCAUAUAGAAGCUAUAGGAAAGAGAAAUUUGUUUCUUUUUGGUUAUUUCUAUGCUUAAUUGACAUGAUACAAAAAGUCUAAGUGCAAUAAGACUCUUGCAUUGAACUUUUUUUGCAGACAGUGUACUUUGAUGCAAAUUUUAUUUUCAUUUUUCAGUGGAAAUUCUGAAAACUUGCAUGUAAUUUUAUUCCCAACUUGCAUAUAUUUGAACCACUAACUGUCCUACAGAAGAAGAAAAAGUUUCAUAUGAAAG
This 743-nucleotide long non-coding RNA is filed under the name Mytilus galloprovincialis (Mediterranean mussel). Lineage: Eukaryota; Metazoa; Mollusca; Bivalvia; Mytilida; Mytilidae. The record is from RNAcentral.